GUGCGAUUCUGUGGAGUGUGAGGAGCUUAACACCUUCAUGCUUUGCAUAUUCGUGCUCUUGGGUGUACUUGCUCGUAUGGUUGGUCAACAUCAAUUUUGGUGGUCAUAAAAUGACUGGAGGAAUGUAGCCUUCGAUCUCGUAUUGAAGUGUUAUAGCCUUCGGUAGAUGUGAUGACUGAGAUUGAGGAUUGCAACGGAUACCCCUCGGGGCUCCUGUCUGAUCUCUGAUCGUUGCUCUGGUGCCGAAAGCUUG
This 253-nucleotide ribosomal RNA is filed under the name Rhizophagus intraradices. Its description in RNAcentral is "partial 28S ribosomal RNA". Lineage: Eukaryota; Fungi; Glomeromycota; Glomeromycetes; Glomerales; Glomeraceae. The record is from RNAcentral.